ACGAGAUUGCCACCUAUUUACCUUCUUGUAACCAUAAGAAUGAGGGAAGCUUCAUUCCGACGGAGUUCGACCAAAAUAGAGAAGAAGUUGUAAGGGCAACCCUUGCAUAAAAAUAUCCACUCACCAACUGUUCACCAACUGUUCUUCCUCUUGCUGGCAUACCUUAUGCAGCAUCCUCAGAUGCCAGAGCGCGUUUCUGCUGCAGCCUCCACGAUGCCUGGGCUGAUAGCAAUCAGGUCCUGCUAUGCUUCUUUCAGGAAGAGCUGACCCCUGGAAUCUGGGCUAGACUUGCACUUGUUUUGGCCAUUGGAAUAUCAAGCUGACUUUUUGUGGGCUCUGGAGACUAGGACCUAAAAGGAGGAAUGUUGCCCCCUCAUCAUUAUGUAAAGAAGCUGGCGCAACCUGCUGGAGGAGAAUAUGCCACCUGGGGAAGAACUGAGGCACCCAGCCAACAUCCAGCACCCACCACUAGACAUGAAAACACUGGUCGGUUACUAAUGGAGAAGAAGAAAAAGCAGCAAAGACAACGAGUAUACUUGGGAUGCGAUCGCAUGCCUGGAGCAUCUGAGUAUUGGUUGGAAAGAGGUAAAUCAGGCACCAUUUCUCCAUGAUGUGUCAGGACCUGAAUCUGUCAUUUGCGAGCCUGACCUCAUAACUCAGCCAAGCCAAGCUGCAAGGCACCCUGGGAACCCAUCACUGAAAGACUGCAGAGGGAGGAAGGCAAGGGCAGGAAUAGCCAGCUGGUCAAGCAGCAGAGUGUCUCCUCAGCUCCCAGGAAAUGGUGUCUAAGGGUGAUGAUGAACUGGGACUUCAUCUGAGUCCAAAAUAAUGAUGCUGCUGAUGCAACAGCAGAACUUAUUAAACACUUACUACUGCAUAU
This is a long non-coding RNA of Homo sapiens (human), 880 nucleotides long. RefSeq lists it as uncharacterized. NCBI's taxonomy places the organism in Eukaryota, Metazoa, Chordata, Mammalia, Primates, Hominidae. The record is from RefSeq and is a predicted model, not a curated record. The transcript has 5 exons.